RNAcentral lists this transfer RNA (73 nucleotides) under Aedes aegypti (yellow fever mosquito). It matches the Rfam family "tRNA". Rfam says of the family: Transfer RNA (tRNA) molecules are approximately 80 nucleotides in length. The record is from Rfam by way of RNAcentral. Lineage: Eukaryota; Metazoa; Arthropoda; Insecta; Diptera; Culicidae.
CCUCUCGUGGCGUAGGGGUAACGCACCCUAACUAUGGAUCAGGGAGUCGUAAGCUCGAUUCUCACCGAAAAGA